This 486-nucleotide ribosomal RNA is filed under the name uncultured bacterium. RNAcentral describes it as "partial 16S ribosomal RNA". It matches the Rfam family "Bacterial small subunit ribosomal RNA", at positions 355 to 859 of the family's 1533-position model. The record is from RNAcentral.
UGGGGAAUAUUGGACAAUGGGGGCAACCCUGAUCCAGCCAUGCCGCGUGAGUGAUGAAGGCCUUCGGGUUGUAAAGCUCUUUUGGCGGGGACGAUGAUGACGGUACCCGCAGAAUAAGCCCCGGCUAACUUCGUGCCAGCAGCCGCGGUAAGACGAAGGGGGCUAGCGUUGUUCGGAAUUACUGGGCGUAAAGCGAGUGUAGGCGGUUGCCGUAGUCAGGUGUGAAAGCCUUGAGCUCAACUCAAGAAAUGCACUUGAUACUGGGUGACUAGAGGACCGGAGAGGAUAGUGGAAUUCCCAGUGUAGUGGUGAAAUACGUAGAGAUUGGGAAGAACACCAGUGGCGAAGGCGGCUAUCUGGACGGUUACUGACGCUAAGACUCGAAAGCGUGGGGAGCAAACAGGAUUAGAUACCCUGGUAGUCCACGCCGUAAACGAUGGGUGCUAGACGUUGGCGAGCUUGCUCGUCAGUGUCGCAGCUAACGCG